RNAcentral lists this ribosomal RNA (301 nucleotides) under uncultured bacterium. RNAcentral describes it as "partial 16S ribosomal RNA". It matches the Rfam family "Bacterial small subunit ribosomal RNA", at positions 509 to 807 of the family's 1533-position model. The record is from RNAcentral.
CAGUCGCCGCGGUAACACGUAGGGGGCUAGCGUUGUCCGGAAUCAUUGGGCGUAAAGCGCGUGUAGGCGGUUUCUUAAGUCUGAUGUGAAAGCCCACGGCUCAACCGUGGAGGGUCAUUGGAAACUGGGAAACUUGAGUGCAGAAGAGGAAAGUGGAAUUCCAUGUGUAGCGGUGAAAUGCGCAGAGAUAUGGAGGAACACCAGUGGCGAAGGCGACUUUCUGGUCUGUAACUGACGCUGAUGUGCGAAAGCGUGGGGAUCAAACAGGAUUAGAUACCCCGGUAGUCCCUGUCUCUUAUAC